This 3154-nucleotide long non-coding RNA is filed under the name Callithrix jacchus (white-tufted-ear marmoset). RNAcentral's name for it is "lncRNA (ENSCJAG00000079542.1)". Lineage: Eukaryota; Metazoa; Chordata; Mammalia; Primates; Cebidae. The record is from RNAcentral.
GUUACUUAUUUAGUUAUUUAUCAUUUAACUCUCUUUGCUAGAAGGUAAGUUUAAUGUGAGUAAGGAUCUUGUUUCUUUUGUAAAUCACCAUUGUCUGUAGUUCCUAGAAUCAUGCCUCACACAUAGUAGGUUCGGUAUAUAUUUUCUUCAUAUAUAAGUACACGAAUAAAUGUUUGACUAUGGACAGUAGAAAGUGUGUAAAUAACUGUAUAGGUUAAACUUCCUGCCAGACUUUAACUGCUUUCUACUAUGAUUUAAAAAAGGAUGUCAAGAGAUCGAGACCAUACUGGUCAGCAUGGUGAAACCCCGUCUCUACUAAAAAUACAAAAACUUAGCUGGGCACUGUGGCGCGUGCCUGAAACCCCGUCUCUACUAAAAUACAAAAAAUUAGCUGGGCAUGGUGAUGCGUGCCUGCAAUCCCAGCUACUCAGGAGGCUGAGGCAGGAGAAUUGCCUGAACCCAGGAGGCGGAGGUUGCGGUGAGCCGAGAUGACGCCAUUGCACUCCAGUCUGGGUAACAAGAGCGAAACUCCGUCUCAAAAAAACAAAAAAAACAAAAAAAACAAAAAAAAACUUUCCUUUUCUUAGAACAGAAAUAAAGUAUUUCCCUUAUUGCAGAAAGCUCUGUUGGAUAGCAGAGCUGCAGAGUUACAAGGAUACAAAGGGACUAGAUUUGGUCUGUCCAUUUUGAGAACUUACAAUUAUUGCAUGCCUAUUAUAGAACUUAGAAUCUAUCAUGGUACAUUCUAUAAUAGGGUAUUAGUUUUAGUUUAGCAGAUUUUUCUUAUGCCAGUCACUAUGCUAAAUCCUAUGGAUACAAUGAAAGCUAAAAAUUGGUCUCUGAAACCCAGUAGUUACAGUUCAAGGGAAACAAGAAAAAAGUGCCUUAAGGCCUUAGGGACCAGAGUAAUUUUUCCUGGGAAAGUUACAAGAGAAAAACACAGUUACACAUAUUUCUUCUGUCUUCUCUACCAAUGUACAUGCCUUGCUUUUUGAAUAACACAGAAAAGUCUAUGGUCGUACCACCCUGAACGUGCCUAAUCUCAUCUGAAUAACACAGGAAAGACUUUAAUAACUGUAUCAUGUAAUAAGUAAUUAUUAUAAUUUUGCAUUGGCAUUCUCAAUGCACUGGACUCCCUUUGCUCUAUUUUAUAAAUGAACCUGGACUGUAGGGUGAGAACUGUGACAACUUCUGAAUUUACCUGGCAACAUUAAUCACAGGGUAGGCAAUCAGCCUCAUGCCAGUGAUGUUUCUCAGUGCAGCCUCCCCCCCACCAUGGGUAAAGUGAAGGAGACAUUUAAGUCUCCUAAUGACCCCACAGUUAUAUGGGUGCCCAGCAGUGGUCUUUUAUUGAAACUUCUGGCAGCAGCUGUUUUGUAUCUCUUCUACAUUUAGCAUAUUUCACGUAAAUUGCAAAGAUAAUGAAAUAGUUAUGCCCUUUACAGUAAGAUAACUCAUUUAAUUUGUGAGCAGUGGCUGUAUAUUAACUGUGUUUUCCGAAACUUGGAUGAAAAGGACAUCUAUUUAUUGACUGAACUAAGGGGGUGGGGUUCUCUAUUGCUAUCUGGGGCUGGGGCCAAGGAUUUAACCCUCAGGUUCCUUCCUUGCUGGCAUUAAUGCUACUGUACAGGCAGGAAGUUGCCCAGGAGUGAAAGCACAAUGCUGCUGAGACAGAAGUCUAUUUUCAGCUGCUGGUUUAUUUCCUCACUUUAGUGACCUUGGAUAGAUCUAUCUUUUCCCUGUGUCUCUGUCUUUGUCUCUGCAAUUGAUUCAGAUAUGGCAUUUAUUGUUCAUGUGAUAUGGUUUGAAAUUUUUGCAGUCUUAAUUGUUAAAAGGAGACCAGGAAGUCUAAGCUCUCAAUCUGGAUUUAUUUCUUAUUCCACCAGUGUCUAUUAAGUGACCCUAGGCUCAUUAAAUAAUCCGAAUGGAGGGACUAGUAUCCCUGGCGCUUUAUUCUUUCCAUCUGUAAAAUGGGGUUAUGAGCAUACCUCCCUUCCUAUCUCUGGGAAAUACAAGAGCAUAUAUAUGUGGGGAAUUUGGGGGAUUGGAGUUUUAUAAAUAUUUAGAUUCUAAAUAGACAUGUUUGUUGGUCUGCCUGUCACAAUCCUGUCUGAUUAACUUCCUCUUCCUUCCAUAGCCCCUUGACUGGGCAAACUUCAAACAAGGUGACUGAGCUCCCUUAGCUGCCACUGAUUGGACCAGGAUAGACAGCAAAUGUAGGAGGAGUUAAUCUGGAUCUAGCCUGAGUCAGUCAGAUGUCUCCCUUGAAUCUAUGCAUAUAGAAAUACAAAAAAUGGAAGCCAGAGGAUGAUGGAUCCUUGAAGUAAAAGGUCAGGUAGAUCUUGAAAAUUUUUGACUCAAUCCAUAUUGACCCAAACACAAGAAUAAUUCUGGUCUACAGAGAGAUGCAAUAGAAAGGCUCAGGUGUAUUAAGAAAAGCAAAUAAGUAACCCUGGGGCAUGAGAAAGAGUAAGACAGGGUGAUGGAAUGAGUGGCUGCCUGAGACUUUCUAAUUCACACAAGGUCUGGCUCUGUUUUAAGCAUUCUUUACAUUUUCAUUCACACCACACUCUAAUGAGGUUGGAAAUGUUACAGGUGCUGAUUUAGAGAAUGCAGUCAGCUAUGGGACUUAUCCAAGGUCACACAGCUGGUUUUUAAGUUGGCUGAGGAUUUGAUUAUAGAUUUCUACUUCUAAGUUCAAAGUUUUUUUCUGCUAUUCAAUGGCCUAUUGUUUAAGGUUGAAGCUUGAAAGAGAAAUAAGAAGAUCUAAAGAAACUGCUCUAAUCCAAUGUAGAUACUGAAGGCUGGUAUUUUACUUGUAAUGUGACUAAGUAAUAUUUGACAUUAUCCCUGAUAUUUAUCCCAAUGCCAGUAACCUCACCAUUAAAUUCAUCUCUUCCUCUGGAAUUUGAAUGAUACUACUACUUUUUUCUCAUCCCAUUCAAGUGAUUUUUCAUUUCUGCUGGAACAAGAGUGUGAAAUUUUACAAGGCUGUCAUAUAUUUUAAUUGGUAUUUACUCAUGGUUCUGAUAGGUAUUUUCUGUGUUUGGUCAUCCACUCUGUGAAGCCUGCAUUUUCAAAAAUUAUUAUUAGAACACAUUUUAGUGACAAUUAUAAAAGCAAACACCAACAUUUCAAUUAAGAUCUAAGUCAG